CCUACGGGCGGCAGCAGUGAGGAAUAUUGGUCAAUGGGCGGGAGCCUGAACCAGCCAAGUCGCGUGAGGGAAGACGGUCCUACGGAUUGUAAACCUCUUUUGCCGGGGAGCAACGGGGUCCUUGCGAGGGCCCGAUGAGAGUACCCGGAGAAAAAGCAUCGGCUAACUCCGUGCCAGCAGCCGCGGUAAUACGUAUGGUGCAAGCGUUAUCCGGAUUUACUGGGUGUAAAGGGAGCGCAGGCGGCACGGCAAGCCUGAUGUGAAAGCCCGCGGCCCAACCGCGGGACUGCAUUGGGAACUACCGGGCUGGAGUGCCGGAGAGGUAGGCGGAAUUCCUAGUGUAGCGGUGAAAUGCGUAGAUAUUAGGAGGAACACCAGUGGCGAAGGCGGCCUACUGGACGGUGACUGACGCUGAGGCUCGAAAGCGUGGGGAGCAAACAGGAUUAGAUACCCCAGUAGUC
Molecule: ribosomal RNA, 461 nt
Filed under: uncultured bacterium
Lineage: Bacteria
Description: partial 16S ribosomal RNA
Rfam family: Bacterial small subunit ribosomal RNA
Source: RNAcentral